RNAcentral lists this ribosomal RNA (492 nucleotides) under uncultured bacterium. Its description in RNAcentral is "partial 16S ribosomal RNA". It matches the Rfam family "Bacterial small subunit ribosomal RNA", at positions 29 to 507 of the family's 1533-position model. The record is from RNAcentral.
AGUGAACGCUGGCGGUAGGCCUAACACAUGCAAGUCGAACGGCAGCACAGUAAGAGCUUGCUCUUACGGGUGGCGAGUGGCGGACGGGUGAGGAAUACAUCGGAAUCUACUUUUUCGUGGGGGAUAACGUAGGGAAACUUACGCUAAUACCGCAUACGACCUACGGGUGAAAGAAGGGGAUCUUCGGACCUUGCGCGAUUGAAUGAGCCGAUGUCGGAUUAGCUAGUUGGCGGGGUAAAGGCCCACCAAGGCGACGAUCCGUAGCUGGUCUGAGAGGAUGAUCAGCCACACUGGAACUGAGACACGGUCCAGACUCCUACGGGAGGCAGCAGUGGGGAAUAUUGGACAAUGGGCGCAAGCCUGAUCCAGCCAUACCGCGUGGGUGAAGAAGGCCUUCGGGUUGUAAAGCCCUUUUGUUGGGAAAGAAAAGCAGCAGGUUAAUACCCCGCUGUUCUGACGGUACCCAAAGAAUAAGCACCGGCUAACGUCGUG